UUUUUUAAAGGUAUGCGGAGUUCUUGUUUUGUCCGUGAUGAAACAAUUGUUUCAGUUUUCGGUAUUCGGAGCUCCGUGCAAUUUCAACACCAAUUCGACUUUGAUUUAUAAUUUCUAAAAAGUCUUAGCGAAGCUCAAAGACCCAAAGUUCCAUUCGAUUUGCCUUACUUGUUAUAGGCCUACACAUUUUAAUUUAGAAUUUUGUGGUGGAAUCUAAUGCUUCAUCAAGAAUCAUUUCUCAAUUUACAGUUGCAUUUUGUAGAUUAAGCGAUUACGAGGUAACUGUCUUCAUUUUAUAAGGCAUUCAAGCCCCGUCUUGUAUACCGUUAUAAACACAUAGUAUCAAAUGGUCCGGGAAAGACACAGAGGACGAGCACCGGUUUCAGGUUACACCGCUAACAGUAACGGAGAUACAGCGUCAUCCAAGCGGGAAAAGGACGGUGAUUGUUCCCACAAACUCUUGGCUUGCUGAGACAAAAGAUAUCUACGAGCAGAGACGGAGAUGGUGGAAGUUUGUCUUUGUGGUGAGAUGUCACCGGCGAGAUCCCUGAGAAAGCAAGACUACCCCGAUUAAAAAACCCCACAACACAGCGACUAAUUGAAUUACAGAUAAUUGUACAAGGUGCCCGGUGAAUUUCCUCUCAAUGUAUAUGUAUCCAGGACCACAAGGCACAGAUCUGCAGUCUUAAUCCCAGACAAACACAACCUUUCAACUGAAGGAUAUUAACUAAAACUUUUUGUCAAUUCCGUGAUAAGGCAUUUCCACGAGCAGGUUGUGGAAGAAUAAAGUUUGAGAGUAAUGAUGGUGUGAUUUCCCGGAGCGUGUCCCAUUAUGGAGAAAAUUGUCCUCCACUGAAUUAAACAGUCGGACUCUUCAAGAGAAUUCUAUGUGACAGAUCUCGCAAAGAUGAGGGCAG
This is a long non-coding RNA of Saccostrea cuccullata (small rock oyster), 917 nucleotides long. RefSeq lists it as uncharacterized. The record is from RefSeq and is a predicted model, not a curated record. The transcript is spliced from 4 exons. Lineage: Eukaryota; Metazoa; Mollusca; Bivalvia; Ostreida; Ostreidae.